GGGUCAGUAGGUUGGUCGUGCCACCGGUACGUACUGGUCUCACUGAUUCCUCCUUCCUGAAGAACCGUAAUGCCAUUAAUUUGGUGUUGCGGGGAAACAGGACUGUUACUUUGAAAAAAUAGAGCGUUUAAAGCAAGCUAACGCUUGAAUACAUUAGCAUGGAAUAAUGAAAUAGGACGAUCGAUCCUAUUUUGUUGGUUUCUAGGAUUGACGUA
This 215-nucleotide ribosomal RNA is filed under the name Glomeromycotina sp. RNAcentral's name for it is "partial small subunit ribosomal RNA". The record is from RNAcentral. Lineage: Eukaryota; Fungi; Glomeromycota.